RNAcentral lists this unclassified non-coding RNA (333 nucleotides) under uncultured fungus. RNAcentral describes it as "partial contains 5.8S rRNA and ITS2". Lineage: Eukaryota; Fungi. The record is from RNAcentral.
AACGCAAAUUGCGCUCGAGGCUUCGGCCGAGAGCAUGUCUGCCUCAGCGUCGGGUUAACCCUCAUGCCUCAUAAUAUUUGCAAAAAUAUUAUGGCGCGUGGACCUGGCCUUCUCAGCAACUAAUAUUUAUUUAUUGAUUGCUGGGUUGGCUGAAGCGCAGAGAUCUGUGCAUGGACCCGUUUAUGGGCCUCAACUGGGUAGGCAAAUUAUUUGCUGAUGCUUUAGUUGCUGGCUUGGGACUGUGCGUGCGGAUCCAAAGCAGGAAAAUAAUAUUAUUAUUUUCUAAUUUAUUAUCUCGACCUGAGCUCAGGCAAAGGCACCCGCUGAACUUAA